RNAcentral lists this ribosomal RNA (489 nucleotides) under uncultured bacterium. RNAcentral describes it as "bacterial SSU rRNA". It matches the Rfam family "Bacterial small subunit ribosomal RNA", at positions 31 to 507 of the family's 1533-position model. The record is from RNAcentral.
GAACGCUAGCGGCAGGCUUAACACAUGCAAGUCGAGGGGCAGCAUGACACGGAGAUUCGUCGAAGUGUUGAUGGCGACCGGCGCAAGGGUGCGUAACGCGUGAGCAACUUGCCCGUUUCUGGGGAAUAACCGGUGGAAACGCCGACUAAUACCCCAUAGCAUAUUCGAGAGGCAUCUCUUGGAUAUUAAAGAAAUUCGGAAACGGAUAGGCUCGCGUGACAUUAGCUGGAUGGCGGGUAACGGCCCACCAAGCCGACGAUGUCUAGGGGUUCUGAGAGGAAGGUCCCCCACACUGGUACUGAGACACGGACCAGACUCCUACGGGAGGCAGCAGUGAGGAAUAUUGGUCAAUGGUCGAGAGACUGAACCAGCCAAGUAGCGUGAAGGAUGACUGCCCUACGGGUUGUAAACUUCUUUUGUUUGGGAAUAAAUGAUACUACGUGUAGUAUUUUGCAUGUACCUUACGAAUAAGCAUCGGCUAAUUCCGUG